Long non-coding RNA from Tarenaya hassleriana, 409 nucleotides. RefSeq lists it as uncharacterized. Lineage: Eukaryota; Viridiplantae; Streptophyta; Magnoliopsida; Brassicales; Cleomaceae. The transcript is spliced from 4 exons. The record is from RefSeq and is a predicted model, not a curated record.
AAACAACGUGGUGAACCUUCUUCUGGUACUGCAAAAAGUUAUUCAACAUUCAUGGGGGAAACCAUUUGAAUAGGAGAAUAAAAUCUGAAACAGGUUUCUGAUACAUAUUGCUUCUCUUCUGUUGAAGGUUCGGUCACUACAGAGGCCUCUUCCCUGUUCAUGCACAACCGAGGAAGCAAGGAUGAAGACAAACAGGAUCAGUUGCAUUUGUGACGGAUUUGAAUUCAUACCCAAAUUUUCCUGACAGAUGACUUAGAAGCCUUGUGUCCCUGCGUUCCUCGUGGGGACGAUGAAUCUCUCCGUAUAACAUAACCUGUUGAAAAGGCUUUCGCAGAGUUCAGGGGCAAUGUCUGUCCGGACGAGUUCAGGUGAGACCAAGACCGACUGAAGAAAAUGCAACACUGUCUGC